UAGGGAAUCUUCCACAAUGGACGAAAGUCUGAUGGAGCAACGCCGCGUGAGUGAAGAAGGGUUUCGGCUCGUAAAGCUCUGUUGUUAAAGAAGAACGUGGGUAAGAGUAACUGUUUACCCAGUGACGGUAUUUAACCAGAAAGCCACGGCUAACUACGUGUCAG
This 164-nucleotide ribosomal RNA is filed under the name uncultured bacterium. Its description in RNAcentral is "partial 16S ribosomal RNA". It matches the Rfam family "Bacterial small subunit ribosomal RNA", at positions 355 to 511 of the family's 1533-position model. The record is from RNAcentral.